Thalassophryne amazonica is the source of this 150-nucleotide long non-coding RNA. RefSeq lists it as uncharacterized. The transcript has 4 exons. Lineage: Eukaryota; Metazoa; Chordata; Actinopteri; Batrachoidiformes; Batrachoididae. The record is from RefSeq and is a predicted model, not a curated record.
ACAUUUUCUAAAUGUACAAAAACAUCAAUUUUAUGUUGCAUUUUCAUUCUUUAUGUGUUGUGAAACACUAUGUUGAUGAUAUGGGACGAAACAGUUAGUACAAUAAUACAGCUCAACUUACUCGGAGUAGCCCUUCCACUUCAGGAAGAA